AACAAAAUUAAAUCCCCUAGGAAAUACAUUUCAGUUCAAAAUAUUCCAUAUGAUAUAGAAUUUAGGCGGAAGAGAUAAAAGAAUGAAAAAGACAAAGACAGAUGAGGGGAAGAGAGAACAAAUAAGAAAGAGGAUGGUUUAAGGGAAAGAGGAGAAAACAGAGAAAGGUGAAAUAAUAUGUCGGAACUCCAUAUCCGAACCAUGGCUUAUCAGGUAUCCAUGUCCGAUAAAUUUUUCUCGCAUUUUCAUAUCCGAUAAAGAAAUUUAUUUAUUUUUAAAUAUUUUUAUUAAAUCUAAUAAAUCUAUACAAAUUAUUUUUUAACAAUUAAAAAUUAUUUAAUUAAAUUAUAGAUUCAUACAUAUUGAUAAAUAUAUUUAAAAAUAAUUAUAAAUAAAUAUGAUUAAAUAUUUAUUUAACAGACUACAUCAAAUAUAAAUGGGGUGCAGAGUUUCUUAAUAGAUGAAAUAAAAUGAUGGUGCAGAUUUAGUAACAGGAGAAAUAGAGUUUUUGAAAUGAAAUGAGAUCCAAUCAAUAUUUCAUUGAAGGCAUAGAAAUCCUCAACAAUACAAAAUUAAUUACGGAUACAACUUCAUUAAUUAAGGGUAACAACUUUAUUAAGGAUAUUUUCGAAAAUUGGAU
This 640-nucleotide long non-coding RNA is filed under the name Vigna radiata. RNAcentral's name for it is "long non-coding RNA (VRAD_LNC009956)". Lineage: Eukaryota; Viridiplantae; Streptophyta; Magnoliopsida; Fabales; Fabaceae. The record is from RNAcentral.